This is a long non-coding RNA of Anguilla anguilla (European eel), 736 nucleotides long. RefSeq lists it as uncharacterized. The transcript has 3 exons. NCBI's taxonomy places the organism in Eukaryota, Metazoa, Chordata, Actinopteri, Anguilliformes, Anguillidae. The record is from RefSeq and is a predicted model, not a curated record.
UCGCAAUGAGAGGAAGAAGGAGAAGGGUCUGGUUGCAGCCGACUGGCGAAUCUCCACCAGGAGGACCUCCACGCUGAGGAUCAGCAGCACGUGACCUCAAUGUGACGGACCUAAAAUUACGUAACCUCUACACUACGAACGGAACUCACAUGACCCAAACAAACUUUGUAUACAGUUCACUGGAGUGGAGUUCGACAACGGGAAAAAACGGAACAAACGACAGAACCGUUUAAAGCGAGAGGUGAAAGAAGGCAGGUUUCUUGAACAUACAAAGCUAAAGCCGAUAUAUAUCAAUGUUUUAUUACUUUCAAUGAUUCUAAUAUACGAUAUUAGCAUGGAAGCUAUUGUAUAAUGUUUUGGUGAGAUGAUAUUGUCUGGAGAUGCUGGCUGAACUGUUCGCUACGUUUGUUAGCCUUGGUCGUUGCUACUCGGUUCCGCUUCAGCAAAUGAGUGCAUGCGAAUAUAUGACAUGUUGAAGACGAUCAUAAGUUUUUUCAGGCUGCUGUGUCCAGACAUGCAGACCAUUGAAUGGAUGCAAUGCUACAACUGUAAAGGCUGGCUCCACACAGACUGUGCUGGUCCAUCUCAUUGAGGGAUGAGACAUUCUGUUGAGAAUCGAGCGACACCUGCAAUAGGUCGUCAUCAGGGUCUUGAAAAAGAAUGAGGGCUUCAGCUGCUAUCGGGCAGAAUUUGCCAUGGCCAGGGGAUUUCACAAUUAAAGACUGAAGAAAUUUGA